This is a regulatory RNA element of Marinilactibacillus sp. 15R, 115 nucleotides long. It matches the Rfam family "23S methyl RNA motif". NCBI's taxonomy places the organism in Bacteria, Bacillati, Bacillota, Bacilli, Lactobacillales, Carnobacteriaceae. The record is from Rfam.
GGUUCAUUGGUUUUUAUCAGUCACCCCAUCAGAAGCUGAUAAAAAAAUGUGAAAAACAACAGCUUAAUUAACGUAUCGUUUCGCAGUGCAUGACACCGAGGCGAUACGUUUUUUU